UGGGGAAUUGUUCGCAAUGGGCGCAAGCCUGACGACGCAACGCCGCGUGGAGGAUGAAGGUCUUCGGAUCGUAAACUCCUGUUGCCCGGGACGAAUAGCUUCGACCUAACACGUCGGAGUAUGACGGUACCGGGUGAGGAAGCCCCGGCUAACUCUGUGCCAGCAGCCGCGGUAAUACAGAGGGGGCAAGCGUUGUUCGGAAUUACUGGGCGUAAAGGGCGCGUAGGCGGCCUGUUAAGUCGAACGUGAAAUCCCUGGGCUCAACCCAGGAACUGCGUCCGAUACUGGCUGGCUUGAAUCCGGGAGAGGGAUGCGGAAUUCCAGGUGUAGCGGUGAAAUGCGUAGAUAUCUGGAGGAACACCGGUGGCGAAGGCGGCAUCCUGGACCGGUAUUGACGCUGAGGCGCGAAAGCCAGGGGAGCAAACAGGAUUAGAUACCCAGGUAGUCCCUGAGCGGGCUGGCAAGGCGCAU
RNAcentral lists this ribosomal RNA (471 nucleotides) under uncultured bacterium. RNAcentral describes it as "bacterial SSU rRNA". It matches the Rfam family "Bacterial small subunit ribosomal RNA", at positions 355 to 825 of the family's 1533-position model. The record is from RNAcentral.